This 97-nucleotide ribosomal RNA is filed under the name Mallorcan basidiomycete 01. RNAcentral's name for it is "partial 5.8S ribosomal RNA". It matches the Rfam family "5.8S ribosomal RNA", at positions 1 to 94 of the family's 154-position model. From Rfam's summary of the family: 5.8S ribosomal RNA (5.8S rRNA) is a component of the large subunit of the eukaryotic ribosome. It is transcribed by RNA polymerase I as part of the 45S precursor that also contains 18S and 28S rRNA. The record is from RNAcentral. Lineage: Eukaryota; Fungi; Basidiomycota.
UACAACUUUCAGCAACGGAUCUCUUGGCUCUCGCAUCGAUGAAGAACGCAGCGAAAUGCGAUAAGUAAUGUGAAUUGCAGAAUUCAGUGAAUCAUCG